This 451-nucleotide ribosomal RNA is filed under the name uncultured bacterium. RNAcentral describes it as "bacterial SSU rRNA". It matches the Rfam family "Bacterial small subunit ribosomal RNA", at positions 354 to 796 of the family's 1533-position model. The record is from RNAcentral.
GUGAGGAAUUUUGCGCAAUGGGGGCAACCCUGACGCAGCAACGCCGCGUGGGUGAAGAAGGUCUUCGGGUCGUAAAGCCCUGUCAGGUGGGAAGAAUGUCUUGGGGGUGAAUAAUCUUCAAGAGUGACGGUACCACCAGAGGAAGCACCGGCUAACUCCGUGCCAGCAGCCGCGGUAAUACGGAGGGUGCGAGCGUUGUUCGGAAUCAUUGGGCGUAAAGGGCGUGCAGGCGGCUGGGUAAGUCUGAUGUGAAAGCCCGGGGCUCAACCCCGGAAGUGCAUUGGAAACUGCUCAGCUUGAGUACCGGAGAGGAUGGGGGAAUUCCCGGUGUAGAGGUGAAAUUCGUAGAGAUCGGGAGGAAUACCAGUGGCGAAGGCGCCCAUCUGGACGGAUACUGACGCUGAGACGCGAAAGCGUGGGGAGCAAACAGGAUUAGAAACCCGAGUAGUCC